UGUAAUCUAGGGUUGAAAUUAGGGGAAAAGGGUAAGGCUUUUCGAUUGUCUUUGAUUUAGAGCUCGUAUUGGGGUCAAAUUUGAAAAUAAAUUGUAUAUUCGGGCUUGAGUUUGAAUGGGUGACAUGGAAUUGGUUCGAACCUCGGGUUUCGACCAAGCGGGCCCGGGGUCGAUUUUUGGGAUUUUGGGAAGAAAGAUUAGAAAUUCCUAUUUAGGCAUUGGGUUUAGUUUGUUUAGCUAUUAUUAAUAUUGU
RNAcentral lists this long non-coding RNA (253 nucleotides) under Nicotiana benthamiana. RNAcentral's name for it is "long non-coding RNA (NBEN_LNC037792)". Lineage: Eukaryota; Viridiplantae; Streptophyta; Magnoliopsida; Solanales; Solanaceae. The record is from RNAcentral.